ACCCGCUGAACUUAAGCAUAUCAAUAAGCGGAGGAAAAGAAACCAACAGGGAUUGCCCUAGUAACGGCGAGUGAAGCGGCAACAGCUCAAAUUUGAAAUCUGGCUCUUUUAGAGUCCGAGUUGUAAUUUGCAGAGGGCGCUUUGGCUUUGGCAGCGGUCCAAGUUCCUUGGAACAGGACGUCACAGAGGGUGAGAAUCCCGUACGUGGUCGCUGGCUAUUGCCGUGUAAAGCCCUUUCGACGAGUCGAGUUGUUUGGGAAUGCAGCUCUAAAUGGGAGGUACAUUUCUUCUAAAGCUAAAUAUUGGCCAGAGACCGAUAGCGCACAAGUAGAGUGAUCGAAAGAUGAAAAGCACUUUGGAAAGAGAGUCAAACAGCACGUGAAAUUGUUGAAAGGGAAGCGCUUGCAGCCAGACUUGCUUACAGUUGCUCAUCCGGGCUUUUGCCCGGUGCACUCUUCUGUAGGCAGGCCAGCAUCAGUUUGGGCGGUAGGAUAAAGGUCUCUGUCACGUACCUCUCUUCGGGGAGGCCUUAUAGGGGAGACGACAUACUACCAGCCUGGACUGAGGUCCGCGCAUCUGCUAGGAUGCUGGCGUAAUGGCUGU
This 603-nucleotide ribosomal RNA is filed under the name uncultured fungus. RNAcentral describes it as "eukaryotic LSU rRNA". It matches the Rfam family "Eukaryotic large subunit ribosomal RNA", at positions 23 to 641 of the family's 3401-position model. Lineage: Eukaryota; Fungi. The record is from RNAcentral.